Long non-coding RNA from Medicago truncatula (barrel medic), 1726 nucleotides. RefSeq lists it as uncharacterized. Lineage: Eukaryota; Viridiplantae; Streptophyta; Magnoliopsida; Fabales; Fabaceae. The record is from RefSeq and is a predicted model, not a curated record. The transcript is spliced from 3 exons.
AUGACACAUGAUCACAAAUUAAUAUACGUGCAUUAUAGCCUACGACAGGCCACAUACCGAACGAUGUGCACACCACACAACCACAAAACGUAGAAUAUUAAAACUUCAAAAAUUUCUACUGAAUAUUCUUGCAUCAAUUCUCGUAUUUCAAACGCGCAUUCCAACGUCCUAGAACAUAUUCAUUUUUAUAGGUUAAAUAAAUGUUUGAUCCCUAAAAAAUAUAGUCAAUUUCGUUUUUUGUCCAAGUAAGGAUUAAUUUGGCAAAAUAUUCAAGCUUUCUCAUCAAUACAGUCAGACGAUGACAAAUGUGAAACGAUGGAAUGAGUUAUAUAUCUAUUUCAACAACCGAAAUUCUAUCUUUCUACCUAAACAAUAUCACGAAAUGACCAUUUCAGAGAGAUGGGUUGUCUCUUUCAUGAUAUUUCCAAGUAACUCCGACCCCGUUUCGUCAGUCUAGCACCGUAUCAUUGUUCAUCUCCUUAUUCUCUACAAAACUCAUAGAAGAACAGUACCAGCUGAGCAGAAAGUUUGAAUGUCUGAAGAAGCUUUGAUUGGGCACAGGACUGCUUGGAUGUUGGCAGAUGAGUUCAUGAAGUACAUCCAAUGAAAUUGGAGGUGGAGAUGUUCUUCUUGCAGGCAUUGGCAAGGCAAGGAGGAUGCAAGUUCCAAAUGUGAAUAUGCAGCAUUAUGUUGGUGAUUAUGUUCAUGUUGACAUGCUUGCUUGGCUCUAUCCAAACACUUUGAGAUACUGUGGGAUGAAGGAGCUGUCAAAGUGUGUGAUGAGGACUUGUUAACUAACUUGCUUGCUUGCUGUUGUUCAAAUACUCAUUAUCACUGUAAGUAAGAAUAAAUGAAAACAAUUGUGUACAACUUGUUCUAAUGAAUCUCUUGUUUAUAUAAACAAAGUGUUGGCCUUAGUUCUUUCUCAUUCAAUCACUUUAUUAUUCAACUCUAAGCUGUUAUCGAUUUGGAGAAAGUUUAAUAUUUUUAGCUUGCAACUGGUUUUUGUCACAAUCAAUGUAGAAAAUAUGGUAGACUCUUAGGCGAGAUUUGGUUAGGUGGGGGGAGGAAACUUGUAGAAAAAAAGAGAAAUGAGAAAACUAUCAUGAACAGAGUUAACAGUAUAUGUCCAAGAAAAAGGAGUUAAGAGCUAUACCUUAAACUUGUCUUUGCUUUUGAUAUUAAGGGCUUUCAACUGAAAAAAAAUUAAGAGCAUAAUAGAAAUUUAAUGAGCACCAUGAAAAGAUGUAUCCCUCAAAUUUGAUGAAUGCCUAUGAAUAUGUGAAAAUCAUUAAAAUGAAGAUGUUAAAUAUGCAGUUGGCAGUAGUAAACAAUCUCACCAUGAGUUUUGUGAACUAAAAUUCAAUUUUUCUUCCCCCCACCAACUUCGUGAAAUAUUCUAAUUUUUGUGUUCUUUUGACUUGCCUUCAUGCUGCUUGUUACUGGCGUGGUUCCUCCUUCAUGAAUUCCUUGAGUUGGCUGUGGAAACCUAUGGAUGGGAGACAAAGAAGAGGCAAAAGGUUGCAUAAUGGAGAAUGACACAAAGAUGUUCAUUUACUUGUACUUGUACUGUAAAGAAUAAUGCAUACCAAUUUAUACUGUUGGUUGUAACACAUAUAAUAUACAACCUGCAUCAUCAAUUGUAGAGUAUGUAAAUGUAAAUUUAUCUAACAUCAUGAAAAUGCAUAAUACAGGACAACAAGAAGUAAAAUGAAGCAUAGAUUUA